GUCUACGGCCAUGCCACCCUGAACAAGCCCGAUCCUGUCUGAUCUCGGAAGCUAAGCAGGGUCGGGCCUGGUUCGUACUUGGAUGGGAGACCACCUAGGAAGACGAGAUGCUGUUAGCA
Molecule: ribosomal RNA, 119 nt
Organism: Pteropus vampyrus (large flying fox)
Lineage: Eukaryota; Metazoa; Chordata; Mammalia; Chiroptera; Pteropodidae
Source: Ensembl